This 2770-nucleotide long non-coding RNA is filed under the name Ananas comosus (pineapple). RNAcentral's name for it is "long non-coding RNA (ACOM_LNC011677)". Lineage: Eukaryota; Viridiplantae; Streptophyta; Magnoliopsida; Poales; Bromeliaceae. The record is from RNAcentral.
UCAUAGCUUUUUGCCGGUGUUUGGAUGCAUGGAUAUCUUAUUCGGCGAUACCGUCCAAAAGGUCGAUACGAUAGAAAACGGUGGUUCGGAGUUCUAGUCUUAGCACUUAGAUAUCAGGUGAACCGUGCCACGUGUAAUGACUGAUUAUAGAGAAUAAUAUUGUCCAGAAGAUUGACCUCAUAGAAAAUGGUGGUUCGGAGUUAGUCUUAGCACUUAAAUAUUAGGUGAACCGUGCCAUAUAUACUGACUAUGGAGAACAAUGCUGCCCAAUAGAUCAAUCAGAUAGGAAACGAUGGUUCGAAGUUAGUCUUAGCAGUUAGAUAUCAGAUGGACCAUGUCACGUGUACUGACUAGAGAGAAAAAUGUUAUUCAAAAGAUCGAUCUGAUAGGAAAUGGUAGUUCAGAGUUAGAGAAUAAUGCCAUGUGUAUUAGGUGAACCAUAACACGUGUACUGACUAUAGAGAAAAUUGUAACCCAAAAAAUCGAUGUGAUAGGAAACGGUGGUUAGGAGUUAGUCUUAGCACUUAGAUAUCAGAUGAGCCAUGUCAAGUGUACUAAUUAUAGAGAACAAUGUUAUUCAAAAGAUCGAUCAGAUGGGAAAUAGUGGUUCAAAGUUAGAGAACAAUGCCACAUGUAUCAGGUGAACCAUGCCACAUGUGCUGACUAUAGAAAAUAAUGUUAUCCGAAAGAUCAAUAUAAUAGGACACGGUGAUUUGGAGUUAGUCUUAGCAUCUAAAUAUUAGGUGAACCAUGCCACGUGUACUGACUAUAGUGAAAAAUGUUAUCCAAAAAUCGAUAUCAGAAAAAAUGGUGGUUCGGUAUUAGUCUUAGCACUUAGAUAUCAAGUGAACUAUGUCACGUGUACGGACUAUAGAGAAUAAUGUUAUCCAAAAGAUCAAUAUGAUAGGAAACGGUGAUUUGGAGUUAGUCUUAGCACCUGAAUAUCAGGUGAACCAUGCCACGUGUACUGACUAUAGAGAACAAUGUUAUCCAAAAUAUCAAUAUGAUAAGAAACGGUGGUUCAGCGUUAGUCUUAGCACUUAGAUAUCAGGUGAACCAUUUCACACGUACUGAUUAUAGAGAAUAAUGUUACCCAAAAGAUUGAUUUGAUAGAAAACGGUGGUUUGGAGUUAGUCUUAGCACCUAAAUAUAAGGUGAACCAUGCCACGUGUGUUGACUAUAGAGGACAAUGUUAUCCAAAAGAUCGAUCUAAUAAGAAACGGUGGUUUGGAGUUAGAGAACAAUGCCACAUGUAUCAGGUGAACCAUGUCAUGUGUACUGAGUACAGAGAACAAUGUUACCCAAAAGAUAGAUCUGAUAGGAUAUGGUGGUUCGGAAUUAGUCUUAGCAUUUAGAUAUCAGAUGAAUCAUACCAUGUGUACUGACUAUAGAGAACAAUGUUAUCCAAAAUAUCGAUAUGAUAAGAAACAGUGGUUCGGAGUUCAUCUUAGCACUAAGAUAUCAGGUGAAUCAUAUCACGUGUACUAACUAGAGAGAACAAUGUAAACAUCUAGUUCGGUAUUACCCAGCAGAUCGAUCUAAUAGGAAACUGUUCGGAAAUGGUCUUAACAACCCUGCUUAUAGGCACGAUGUUCUAGAGAUCAAUCUAUAGGAAACGGUUUGGAAAACAUCAAGCACAUUUUUCCAUUUGCUCAAGAAGCUUGUUGUAUUUAAUAGACGAGGAGUACGAUCAAAUGUCUAGAAAGGCCUACCAUAUUUUUUUGGAAUAAGAUAAACUAUCUUAUAGUUGAAAUUUACUAUCCCACUAAACCACGACUAUUGAAAUCUUCCGAGGUAAAAAUAUCCUCAUAGCUUCCAACCCGGGCCUUUAUGUUUUGGUUAACUAAAGGCCUUCAAAGCCUACUCCCCCGCCCUCUACACCCAAGAAGGUCCUUCCUUUCAAACCCCCAACUUCCCCCCUUCUUAUAACUUUUCGCCGUGUUUGGAUGCAUGGAUAUCUUGUUGGGUGUUACCACCCAAAGAUCGAUCUGGAGUUUUAGUCUUAGCACUUAGAUAUCAAGUGAACCGUGUCAUGUGUACGGACUAUAGAGAAUAAUGUUACCCAAAAGAUCAAUCUGAUAGGAAACGGUGAUUUGGAGUUAGUCUUAGCACCUAACUAUCAGGCGAACCACGCCACGUGUACUGACUAUAUAGAACAAUGUUAUCCAAAAGAUCGAUAUGAUAAGAAACAAUGGUUUGGCGUUAGUCUUAGCACUUAGAUAUCAAGUGAACCAUUUCACGUGUACUGAUUAUAGAGAAUGAUGUUACCCAAAAGAUCGAUCUGAUAGGAAAUUGUGGUUCAGAGUUAGAGAACAAUGCCACGUGUAUCAGGUGAACCAUACCACGUGUACUAACUAUAGAGCAAGAUGUUACCCAAGUAAUCGAUCUGAUAGAAAAUGGUGGUUAAGAGUUAGUCUUAGCACUUAGAUAUCAGAUGAACCAUGUCACGUGUACUAACUGUAGAGAAUAAUAUUAUUCAAAAGAUCGAUUUGAUAGGAAAUGGUGGUUCAAAGUUAGAGAACAAUGCUACGUGUAUCAGGUGAACCAUGCCACAUGUACUGACUAUAGAGAAAAAUGUUAUCGAAAAAAUCGAUCUGAUAGGAAACAGUGAUUAGGAUUUAGUCUUAGCACUUAGAUAUCAGAUAAACCAUACCAUGUGUACUAACUAUAGAGAACAGUGUUACACAAAAAAUUGAUUUGAUAGGAAACGGUGGUUUGGAGUUAGAGAACAAUGCCACGUGUAUUAGGUGAACCAUGUCACAUGUACUGA